Molecule: ribosomal RNA, 468 nt
Filed under: uncultured bacterium
Lineage: Bacteria
Description: partial 16S ribosomal RNA
Rfam family: Bacterial small subunit ribosomal RNA
Source: RNAcentral
GACGAACGCUGGCGGCGUGCUUAACACAUGCAAGUCGAACGGAAAGGCCCUGCUUUUGUGGGGUGCUCGAGUGGCGAACGGGUGAGUAACACGUGAGUAACCUGCCCUUGACUUUGGGAUAACUUCAGGAAACUGGCGCUAAUACCGGAUAGGUGCUCCUGCUGCAUGGUGGGGGUUGGAAUGUUUCGGCGGUUGGGGAUGGACUCGCGGCUUAUCAGCUUGUUGGUGGGGUAGUGGCUUACCAAGGCUUUGACGGGUAGCCGGCCUGAGAGGGUGACCGGCCACAUUGGGACUGAGAUACGGCCCAGGCUCCCACGGGAGGCAGCAGUGGGGAAUAUUGCACAAUGGGCGGAAGCCUGAUGCAGCAACGCCGCGUGCGGGAUGACGGCCUUCGGGUUGUAAACCGCUUUCGCCUGUGACGAAGCGUGAGUGACGGUAAUGGGUAAAGAAGCACCGGCUAACUACGUG